GGAGGUGUGGCCGAGCGGUUUAAGGCACCGGUCUUGAAAACCGGCGAUGGUGCAAGCCAUCCGUGAGUUCGAAUCUCACCGCCUCCGCCA
RNAcentral lists this transfer RNA (90 nucleotides) under Thiobacillus sp. RNAcentral describes it as "tRNA-Ser". It matches the Rfam family "tRNA". Rfam says of the family: Transfer RNA (tRNA) molecules are approximately 80 nucleotides in length. Their secondary structure includes four short double-helical elements and three loops (D, anti-codon, and T loops). Lineage: Bacteria; Pseudomonadati; Pseudomonadota; Betaproteobacteria; Nitrosomonadales; Thiobacillaceae. RNAcentral also lists the same sequence under 9 other names. The record is from RNAcentral.